Molecule: ribosomal RNA, 858 nt
Filed under: Hypotrachyna imbricatula
Lineage: Eukaryota; Fungi; Ascomycota; Lecanoromycetes; Lecanorales; Parmeliaceae
Description: eukaryotic LSU rRNA
Rfam family: Eukaryotic large subunit ribosomal RNA
Source: RNAcentral
GGGAUUGCCUCAGUAACGGCGAGUGAAGCGGCAACAGCUCAAAUUUGAAAUCUGGCCCCAUCGGGGUCCGAGUUGUAAUUUGUAGAGAGUGUUUCGGGCGAGACCACGGUCUAAGUCUGUUGGAACAUUACGUCAUAGAGGGUGAGAACCCCGUAUGCGACCGUGGCUCGAGCCUAUGUGAAGCCUCUUCGACGAGUCGAGUUGUUUGGGAAUGCAGCUCAAAAUGGGUGGUAAAUUUCAUCUAAAGCUAAAUACUGGCUGGAGACCGAUAGCGCACAAGUAGAGUGAUCGAAAGAUGAAAAGCACUUUGGAAAGAGAGUCAAACAGUACGUGAAAUUGUUGAAAGGGAAGCGCUGGCAACCAGACCUGUCCGUAGGCGAUCAACCGCUGUUCUCAGCGGUGCACUCGUUCUGCGAUCAGGCCAGCAUCGGUUUCGGCGGUCGGAUAAAGGCCCGGGGAACGUAGCUCCCUCUCGGGGGAGUGUUAUAGCCCCGGGCGCAAUGCGGCCAGCCGGGACCGAGGACCGCGCUUCGGCUAGGAUGCUGGCGUAAUGGUUGUCAGCGACCCGUCUUGAAACACGGACCAAGGAGUCUAACAUCUAUGCGAGUGUUUGGGUGUCAAACCCAUGCGCGGAAUGAAAGUGAACGGAGGUGAGAACCCUCUCGGGGGCGCAUCAUCGACCGAUCCAGAUGUCUUCGGAUGGAUUUGAGUAUGAGCAUAGCUGUUGGGACCCGAAAGAUGGUGAACUAUGCCUGAAUAGGGUGAAGCCAGAGGAAACUCUGGUGGAGGCUCGCAGCGGUUCUGACGUGCAAAUCGAUCGUCAAAUUUGGGUAUAGGGGCGAAAGACUAUCGACCUUC